UACGAAGGGGGGCUAGCGUUGCUCGGAAUUACUGGGCGUAAAGCGCACGUAGGCGGCUUUCUAAGUCGGGGGUGAAAUCCUGGAGCUCAACUCCAGAACUGCCUUCGAUACUGGAAAGCUCGAGUCCGGGAGAGGUGAGUGGAACUCCUAGUGUAGAGGUGGAAUUCGUAGAUAUUAGGAAGAACACCAGUGGCGAAGGCGGCUCACUGGUCCGGUACUGACGCUGAGGUGCGAAAGCGUGGGGAGCAAACAGGG
RNAcentral lists this ribosomal RNA (255 nucleotides) under uncultured bacterium. Its description in RNAcentral is "partial 16S ribosomal RNA". It matches the Rfam family "Bacterial small subunit ribosomal RNA", at positions 524 to 777 of the family's 1533-position model. The record is from RNAcentral.